This 253-nucleotide ribosomal RNA is filed under the name uncultured bacterium. RNAcentral's name for it is "partial 16S ribosomal RNA". It matches the Rfam family "Bacterial small subunit ribosomal RNA", at positions 524 to 776 of the family's 1533-position model. The record is from RNAcentral.
UACGGAGGGGGCUAGCGUUGUUCGGAAUUACUGGGCGUAAAGCGCACGUAGGCGGCUUUGUAAGUUAGAGGUGAAAGCCCGGAGCUCAACUCCGGAAUUGCCUUUAAGACCGCAUCGCUAGAAUUGUGGAGAGGUGAGUGGAAUUCCGAGUGUAGAGGUGAAAUUCGUAGAUAUUCGGAAGAACACCAGUGGCGAAGGCGACUUACUGGACACAUAUUGACGCUGAGGUGCGAAAGCGUGGGGAACAAACAGG